UUUUUUUUUUUUAUUAUUAUUAUUUUUAUUGUUUUUGUAUUUGGAAUAAUUGGCAGACAAAGUCAUGGUAUGAGUUGAGUCUGUAGCGAGGGGAGAGUGUUGUUUGACGCAGGUGGCGGUGAUGGGGGUGGUCGGUGUAGAUAUUGUUGCCGCUGCUGCUGAUGAUAAUGAUGGUGAUGAGAGGAUAUUCAUACACGCAUGUUCGGUUGAGUGAAUCGUAGGUUCGGGAGUUACGGGGAUGUAAUUGGUAUCAUAAUUGAGGCGGUGCAGCAUUGUCUCUUUUAUGAGCGUCUCUUUUUUUCCAGUUUGGUUCGACGGAGUUUGCCUAAUUGGCGCUGGAAGGGUUCUUUGAGAGUUUGGGUGACGAGGCACGGUGGGAAGAAGGGUUGUGGGAUUGAGGGCGGUUCGGUCAAGAUCAGAACGCCCUGUUUGUUUGAAGCGAGAAGGAGCGAUGGGAGGAUCGGAUUUUAAGGAGUUUGAAUUGGUGGAAGAUGGCGUGGAUUGGGAGGUGGAGAAGGAGAAAGAGAAGACGAAGGAGGUGGUCAAGUUGCCGAGUACGCCCGUGCUCGUUGGCCGCACUGGGAAUGGUAAGAGUGCGACUGGGAAUUCGCUUCUGGGGAGCACGGUCUUCAGGUCGCGUGCUUCGUCUGCGGCUGUCACGUCCACAUGUGAGGUUCAAUUAAAUCAUCUUGAAUUUUUAUGUGAUAAUGGGCACUAUCUAUCACAGUUAAUUGGCUUUUGCAAUUCCAUCCAACUUGUUUUUCUUUUUACCUUUCCAGCAAUUGGUCAUCACAUUUGACUGUACACAAUAAUGUUAUGGGAAUUACUAAUGUUUGGCAUUCCAUGAACUAGUUUGUAUUUUACAGUAUCCAUGAAAUUAUAUGGGUAUUGGCAAUAUGGUUUUCCUAUCACAAUCAAUAUUGUAUUUAAGUUGUCAAAAAUCAACAUUACAUGCAUUUAAUUGAGGUCCAA
This is a non-coding RNA of Physcomitrium patens, 972 nucleotides long. NCBI's taxonomy places the organism in Eukaryota, Viridiplantae, Streptophyta, Bryopsida, Funariales, Funariaceae. The record is from RefSeq and is a predicted model, not a curated record.